Molecule: ribosomal RNA, 253 nt
Filed under: uncultured bacterium
Lineage: Bacteria
Description: partial 16S ribosomal RNA
Rfam family: Bacterial small subunit ribosomal RNA
Source: RNAcentral
UACAGAGGUCUCAAGCGUUGUUCGGAUUCAUUGGGCGUAAAGGGUGCGUAGGCGGCGCGGUAAGUCCGCUGUGAAAGUCGGGGGCUCAACCCUCGAAUGCCGGUGGAUACUGUCGGGCUAGAGUGCGGAAGAGGCGAGUGGAAUUCCUGGUGUAGCGGUGAAAUGCGCAGAUAUCAGGAGGAACACCUAUUGCGAAGGCAGCUCGCUGGGACGUUACUGACGCUGAGACGCGAAAGCGUGGGGAGCAAACAGG